This 1539-nucleotide ribosomal RNA is filed under the name Salmonella enterica subsp. enterica serovar Typhimurium. RNAcentral describes it as "bacterial SSU rRNA". It matches the Rfam family "Bacterial small subunit ribosomal RNA". The record is from RNAcentral. Lineage: Bacteria; Pseudomonadati; Pseudomonadota; Gammaproteobacteria; Enterobacterales; Enterobacteriaceae.
AAAUUGAAGAGUUUGAUCAUGGCUCAGAUUGAACGCUGGCGGCAGGCCUAACACAUGCAAGUCGAACGGUAACAGGAAGCAGCUUGCUGCUUCGCUGACGAGUGGCGGACGGGUGAGUAAUGUCUGGGAAACUGCCUGAUGGAGGGGGAUAACUACUGGAAACGGUGGCUAAUACCGCAUAACGUCGCAAGACCAAAGAGGGGGACCUUCGGGCCUCUUGCCAUCAGAUGUGCCCAGAUGGGAUUAGCUAGUUGGUGAGGUAACGGCUCACCAAGGCGACGAUCCCUAGCUGGUCUGAGAGGAUGACCAGCCACACUGGAACUGAGACACGGUCCAGACUCCUACGGGAGGCAGCAGUGGGGAAUAUUGCACAAUGGGCGCAAGCCUGAUGCAGCCAUGCCGCGUGUAUGAAGAAGGCCUUCGGGUUGUAAAGUACUUUCAGCGGGAGGAAGGUGUUGUGGUUAAUAACCGCAGCAAUUGACGUUACCCGCAGAAGAAGCACCGGCUAACUCCGUGCCAGCAGCCGCGGUAAUACGGAGGGUGCAAGCGUUAAUCGGAAUUACUGGGCGUAAAGCGCACGCAGGCGGUCUGUCAAGUCGGAUGUGAAAUCCCCGGGCUCAACCUGGGAACUGCAUUCGAAACUGGCAGGCUUGAGUCUUGUAGAGGGGGGUAGAAUUCCAGGUGUAGCGGUGAAAUGCGUAGAGAUCUGGAGGAAUACCGGUGGCGAAGGCGGCCCCCUGGACAAAGACUGACGCUCAGGUGCGAAAGCGUGGGGAGCAAACAGGAUUAGAUACCCUGGUAGUCCACGCCGUAAACGAUGUCUACUUGGAGGUUGUGCCCUUGAGGCGUGGCUUCCGGAGCUAACGCGUUAAUAGACGCCUGGGGAGUACGGCCGCAAGGUUAAAACUCAAAUGAAUUGACGGGGGCCCGCACAAGCGGUGGAGCAUGUGGUUUAAUUCGAUGCAACGCGAAGAACCUUACCUGGUCUUGACAUCCACAGAAGAAUCCAGAGAUGGAUUUGUGCCUUCGGGAACUGUGAGACAGGUGCUGCAUGGCUGUCGUCAGCUCGUGUUGUGAAAUGUUGGGUUAAGUCCCGCAACGAGCGCAACCCUUAUCCUUUGUUGCCAGCGGUUAGGCCGGGAACUCAAAGGAGACUGCCAGUGAUAAACUGGAGGAAGGUGGGGAUGACGUCAAGUCAUCAUGGCCCUUACGACCAGGGCUACACACGUGCUACAAUGGCGCAUACAAAGAGAAGCGACCUCGCGAGAGCAAGCGGACCUCAUAAAGUGCGUCGUAGUCCGGAUUGGAGUCUGCAACUCGACUCCAUGAAGUCGGAAUCGCUAGUAAUCGUGGAUCAGAAUGCCACGGUGAAUACGUUCCCGGGCCUUGUACACACCGCCCGUCACACCAUGGGAGUGGGUUGCAAAAGAAGUAGGUAGCUUAACCUUCGGGAGGGCGCUUACCACUUUGUGAUUCAUGACUGGGGUGAAGUCGUAACAAGGUAACCGUAGGGGAACCUGCGGUUGGAUCACCUCCUUA